Molecule: non-coding RNA, 144 nt
Filed under: Thalassionema frauenfeldii
Lineage: Eukaryota; Bacillariophyta; Fragilariophyceae; Thalassionematales; Thalassionemataceae
Source: RNAcentral
AUGGAACACGUCUUUUAGUAGUAGUUGAGUCCACCAUGAAUGGUAUAUUCUUCUCUGCAACUUCUUCUUUUUUUUUCAGUGUCCGAUUACUCUUUUCACAAGAUCAAAACUAUAUGUUGUUUUGGGGACACCCAACCAACCAAG